GCGGGCGUGGCGGAACUGGCAGACGCACUAGAUUCAGGAUCUAGGGCCUUAGAGCGUAUGGGUUCAAGUCCCUUCGCCCGCA
RNAcentral lists this transfer RNA (82 nucleotides) under Caloramator australicus RC3. It matches the Rfam family "tRNA". From Rfam's summary of the family: Transfer RNA (tRNA) molecules are approximately 80 nucleotides in length. Their secondary structure includes four short double-helical elements and three loops (D, anti-codon, and T loops). Further hydrogen bonds mediate the characteristic L-shaped molecular structure. tRNAs have two regions of fundamental functional importance: the anti-codon, which is responsible for specific mRNA codon recognition, and the 3' end, to which the tRNAs corresponding amino acid is attached (by aminoacyl-tRNA synthetases). tRNAs cope with the degeneracy of the genetic code in two manners: having more than one tRNA (with a specific anti-codon) for a particular amino acid; and 'wobble' base-pairing, i.e. permitting non-standard base-pairing at the 3rd anti-codon position. Lineage: Bacteria; Bacillati; Bacillota; Clostridia; Eubacteriales; Clostridiaceae. The record is from Rfam by way of RNAcentral.